GAAACAAGUUGAUCGAGACACUCUUGUGUCUUGAAAAUUUUCACGGGACAAUUCCAUUUUUUGACCGAGAUGAAUUUUUCAAGUUACUGUAAACAAAACAAUUUGCCCUCGAAUGACAAAACGUUCUGAGUGAAGUUGUCCUAAAAAAUGUCAAACUUUCCAAUGGAAGUGUCAGAUUGCACCUGGCAGCACUAGUAUUGCCAGGACCCGAAAUAUAAAUAGUGACCCUCGUAAAUUUCCUAUUUCAAUGAAAUAAAUAUUAUGUUAUUGGUGAGUAGGUUUUCUGAGUGCGCUCCAAUAUCAAAAAUUGAUUGAUUGUUGUCCCUUAUAUAAUGCAUUGUUUUACUGUUUUCAACACUAACACACUGUUUUUUUUUUGUUUUAUGCACUCCUUAUAUUCUUAAUAGUUUUUUUUUUUUGUGCAAUAGCUUUAAUGUAUUUUAAUUAAAAAUAUUUUCCAAUAGCACAUUAAAAAAAUUCUAUUUCAAAUGAAAUUAAAAUUCGGUCUGUUUUUAUUAUUAAAACAAGUAUAUCAUUUAUACCUGUUGUUAUUAUAUCGGUUUAUUUAUUAAUGAGCUAUGUUCAUUAAAAUUUUCAUUAUUUAUUUCAAAAAUCUUUAUUUUUGGUUUGACUUAAAUUUCGUAUAAUUUUUCGUAUUUGUAUUUUAAAAAUGUUUUUUGUUUUUUGUGGAUCAUCUCAUAUCUGUAUUUUUGCUUUUAUAAUUUUUUUACUCUUUAAAUUGUAUUUAAAUAUUUUUUAGAUUUGAAUUUAAAUAUAUUUUAUAUAAUAUUUUAUACAUAUUAUAUAAUAUAAUUAAUAUUCUUACAAAUUAUAAACUAACUUACAUUAUAAUAAUAAUUAAUAAUUAAUAAAAUUUCUAAAUACAAAUUAUAUAAUUUUAUUUCGAUUUUUUUUUUUUUUUUAAUCUUUCUUUUCAUUUAUGAUUAUUUGUUCAUUUUUGUUCUAUAUAUCAUAUAUUUAUUUAUUUUUCAUUUUUAAAUUUUUUUUUUUUUGUUUUUACACAGAGAGUUUUAACAUGUAUGUAAUCUUUUUUUUUUUUUUUUCAUUUUUCAAGUUUUUGUUGUAUAUUUUAAUUAAUUAAUUAUUUAUAAAUUUUUUUCCCUUAAAUUCUAGAUAAAUGGUAUUCUAAUAAUUAAUUUAAAAAUUAAUAUUUUUUUUUAUUAUAAACCGUUGUUUGUCCACUUCUUUUAUUUAUUUAUUUUUUUUUUUUUUAAAUUCUAAUUUUUAAUAUAUAAUGUUAAUUAAGGUGCAAAUUUCCUUUAAAAAUUUUUUAAUUAUUUAACUUUAGUUAUUUAAAAAAAAAAUAAAAGUAAUUAAAGAAUUAAAAAAAUAAAUUUAAAUAAAAUAAAAAAAAAAUUAAUACUUAAUUGCUUUCCGUGUUUUCCACUACAAU
This is a long non-coding RNA of Condylostylus longicornis, 1414 nucleotides long. RefSeq lists it as uncharacterized. The transcript has 2 exons. The record is from RefSeq and is a predicted model, not a curated record. Lineage: Eukaryota; Metazoa; Arthropoda; Insecta; Diptera; Dolichopodidae.